Molecule: long non-coding RNA, 314 nt
Filed under: Mytilus galloprovincialis (Mediterranean mussel)
Lineage: Eukaryota; Metazoa; Mollusca; Bivalvia; Mytilida; Mytilidae
Source: RNAcentral
GUGGUCAUAAACCUUGUGUCAAAAUUUCAUAGAUUUCUAUUUACUUAAACUAAAGUAAUAGUGCGAAAACCAAGAAAAUGCUUAUUUGGGCCCUUUUUGGCCCCUAAUUCCUAAAAUGUUGGGACCAAAACUUCCAAAAUCAAUCCCAACCUUCCUUUUGUGGUAAUAAACCUUGUGUUAAAAUUUCAUAGAUUUCUAUUCACAUUUACUAAAGUUAGAGUGCGAAAACUAAAAGUAUUCGGAGGACGACGACGCAGACGACGAUGCCAACAUCAUACCAAUAUACACCAAAAAAUUUUCAAUUUUUGCGGUCG